AAAUGGCCCAUUCCCUUUUGUUUUGGAUUUCCGAUUGGGCCUGGAAGGUUUUGGCCCAAGUAAAUAAGGAAAAAUGGCCCAAUGGUUUGGUCCAUUAAGAAACCAGAAAAUUAUUUUGCAAAUCAGCCCCUGCAUUUUUCCAUAACUGUACUGUGGCCCUUGACAUUUCCAUUCCUUUCAAUUGAGUCCCUGGUUCAAUUGCAAAUGAGUCCCUGAACUUUAUUUUUCUUUAAUUUUGGCCCCAAAAUUUUUGCCAAUCUUUGCAAUCAAGUCCUUUCUUCUCUUGACUUCUUAAAUGUGGGUUGUUGACAUGAUUUAAUUGAUUCAAAUUCAUGUUUAUUUUUAUCCUUUGUGAUUAUUUGUCAAAUAAAUUGGCACAUUGACUCCUUUAUUAUUUUGGAGGGUAAAUAAGUUGAUUUCACUCCAUUAGAGUUUCAUUUCAAGGGAGGUAUAAUUUCUUUUAU
This 464-nucleotide long non-coding RNA is filed under the name Coffea arabica (coffee). RNAcentral describes it as "long non-coding RNA (CARA_LNC002875)". Lineage: Eukaryota; Viridiplantae; Streptophyta; Magnoliopsida; Gentianales; Rubiaceae. The record is from RNAcentral.